UUGCAUGCAGUUGCUUGGACAUGGAAGCACAGUUUUUGUCCUGGCGUUAAUGCCAGAGGAUGUUCAGAACUCUGCAGCUACUGGGUCAAUAGAAUGUUGAAUAUUUUUUAUGCGCCAUGCACCUCAGCGUUCGGUGACCCUGCGCUGUUACCGUAUAUGGUCUGCCACUUCGUUGGUGAGUUUUUGUCGUUAUGAAACGCUUCCACUUUGCAAUAAUACCACUUACAGUUGACUGUGGAAUAUAUAGCAAGGAAGAAAAUUCACAGACUGAUUAAUUGCAACCGUGGCAUCCUAUGUCAGUACCAUGUUUGAAUUCUCUGAGCUCUUCAGAAUAACCCAUUAUUUCUUAAAUUUCAUAAACCUGCCUGCAUGGCAAAGUGCACCUGUGGCAAUGGGUCUGGAUGAAACACCCGAAUUCAAUGAUUAAGAGGUGUGUCCAUAAUACUGUUUGUCCUUAUAAUGUUUCUCAGUUUUUAAUUUUCUUUCAAAGAUUUGAAAAUUAUUGAUUUUGACUUGGCAGACUAUGUCCUGGGUGUGACAUAAAACUGCGUCAGGCCCUGCGAGCGAUCCUCCAACUUGUGGGGAAAACUUUGGGGGUCAGUGGCACGAUUGGCACUCCAGCUACUGUAAACACUUUUCGCACAGCUCAGAGGCAGUGGACAGGACUCCUCUCUGUUGUCACACCCCGCAUUCCUGCCCCUCGCUCUCUCCCUAACACCUGUUGCUUGUUUUGUCAUACCUCUCAAUCGAGCCCUCGUGUGGAUCACUCCAGCUGCCCCUCAUCUGCUCCCUCGUCAGUCCUGUGCUCCCCAGUCCAGUCAUUGAUGUCAAGCCCCAGUGUAUGCCUGAGUCCUUCCCCUCUCUUGGUUCCCUAUUAUCUAACCCCUUGAGGUUUGUUUUGUUUCCCAGCACCUGUUUAAGUGUAAAUAAAGGCUUCUUUGUUUUGGCCUCAUGCUUGCUUUCACUUCCCUGAUUCUGGGACAUAGCAGAAUGACAGGAAUCUGCAAGUUACAAACAGGGGUGGAAGUAAUGAAUUACAACUACUCACAUUACUGUAAUUAAGUAGUUAUUCCGGGUAGUUGUACUUCCAUCCAUCCAUUUUCCAAACCGCUUAUCCUACUGGGUCGCGGGGGUCCGGAGCCUAUCCCGGAAGCAAUGGGCACGAGGCAGGGAACAACCCAGGAUGGGGGGCCAGCCCAUCGCAGGGCACACUCACACACCAUUCACGCACACAUUCACACCUAUGGGCAAUUUAGCAAGUCCAAUUAGCCUCAGCAUGUUUUUGGACUGUGGGGGGAAACCGGAGUACCCGGAGGAAACCCCACGACUACAUGGGGAGAACAUGCAAACUCCGCACACAUGUAACCCAGGGGGAGACUCGAACCCGGGUCCCAGAGGUGUGAGGCAACAGUGCUAACCACUGCACCACCAUGCCGCCCCGUAGUUGUACUUUUAUAAGUAUAUUUUUAAGUCUGUAAUUUUACUUGUACUUAAGUACAAAUUAAAGUAAGGAAUCUACUUUGCUACUUUUAAAAUCACAAUUCGUUCCUGAGUACGCCAACAGUUUGAAUUAAUAUUUCGGCAUUUCAGUAGCCAAUAAAGGUAUCCGAUGGCAAACAGACCAAUGAACCCUGAUUUCUGGAUUGGAAAAAAGCACCCGGCCCCACUGCAGCGCGUUGUGAUUAUAAUCGCACAGUGAAGGAGUUCGGAGUAAUGUAAAGAACGAACAUCUGGAGAAACAAACUUCAUGGAGGACAGCAACAUUCAAAACAGUGAAAAUAACGCUGAAAUACCGGAGGACGAGUGACGUUUGAGUGCCCCUGGCUGCACUUGGAGGAGCUGUUCAUGUACAGAGGGAGGAAAGGAGACAGCGAGGUGAUGCAGUGCAAACUUUGCCAUCUGUGUUGAUUUCUGCAUAAGAAGUCAGAAGUCUUCAGCUUCCAAUCUUAAAAAACACAUUAUGAGGAAACAUCCAUUAAACACUGAUCAGUACCAUGACAUCAUUGUGACAGCUAGUCGACAAUGGAAGAGUACAUCCACAUCACAUAAGCAGGCCAAGUUGCCAGAUGUGAUGUUGGUAGCAGCAAGCAAACGUGUCCCUCAAACGACUGUUGACAAGCUUAUCAUCAAUUUCAUAUGUGAAGAUCUACAGACAUUUGCAGUGGAUGAACAGCCAGCUCUCAAAGAAUUAACUACCACAUUGCAACCUCAAGCCAAAGUCAUCUCCGGUUCCCAAGAGUGAUUAAAACAGCGAGGCUGAACAUGACUGAUUGGUAGACCUCAUACAAAAGAGCAGUGCUAAACUUUAAACUGUUUUUUAAACCUAUACUAUAUAACUUUGAAAAGAAACAAUCAUUAAAAUUACAAUACUUA
Long non-coding RNA from Brienomyrus brachyistius, 2373 nucleotides. RefSeq lists it as uncharacterized. NCBI's taxonomy places the organism in Eukaryota, Metazoa, Chordata, Actinopteri, Osteoglossiformes, Mormyridae. The transcript is spliced from 2 exons. The record is from RefSeq and is a predicted model, not a curated record.